AGGAAUCUGUUCUACUCGUUGUGAAGUUGAGUUAAGUUUCCCGAGCGAUAAUUUCUAGUCAAGGGAAUUGCCUCUAUUAAUUUUUUUAAAGUUAAUAUGUGAUACCCACCUUAACUUUAGGUCUCAGGAAUUUACUAAGACUGACGGUAGGUACGGAUUCUGC
RNAcentral lists this non-coding RNA (163 nucleotides) under Wolbachia endosymbiont of Cruorifilaria tuberocauda. RNAcentral describes it as "6S RNA". It matches the Rfam family "6S / SsrS RNA". From Rfam's summary of the family: E. coli 6S RNA was the first non coding RNA to be sequenced, but its function was unknown until recently. The record is from RNAcentral. Lineage: Bacteria; Pseudomonadati; Pseudomonadota; Alphaproteobacteria; Rickettsiales; Anaplasmataceae.